GGAUGGGUGGCCGAGUGGACUAAGGCGGCAGUCUUGAAAACUGCUGUACGCAUCGCGUACCGGGGGUUCGAAUCCCUCCCCAUCCG
This 86-nucleotide transfer RNA is filed under the name Pirellulales bacterium. RNAcentral's name for it is "tRNA-Ser". It matches the Rfam family "tRNA". Rfam says of the family: Transfer RNA (tRNA) molecules are approximately 80 nucleotides in length. Lineage: Bacteria; Pseudomonadati; Planctomycetota; Planctomycetia; Pirellulales. The record is from RNAcentral.